UUGUGCCAACAAACCAUUAAUCCGCGGUACCGGAUGAGGAAGGAAAACAUCUUCAGAAUGUACGAUGCAUCUCCCAUAUGCAUCAAAAUCCGAAUAAUAUGAACCACUUCCCUUAGGUUGAAGACGCGAUUUGGUUCAGGAGAAGCUGAUUCCAAAGCCCCAACUACCUUUUCAGCAUCUUCGAGGAUCGUUUUGAGCUUACCC
RNAcentral lists this long non-coding RNA (204 nucleotides) under Medicago truncatula (barrel medic). Its description in RNAcentral is "long non-coding RNA (MTRU_LNC006168)". The record is from RNAcentral. Lineage: Eukaryota; Viridiplantae; Streptophyta; Magnoliopsida; Fabales; Fabaceae.